Molecule: ribosomal RNA, 773 nt
Filed under: uncultured Neocallimastigales
Lineage: Eukaryota; Fungi; Neocallimastigomycota; Neocallimastigomycetes; Neocallimastigales
Description: partial large subunit ribosomal RNA
Rfam family: Eukaryotic large subunit ribosomal RNA
Source: RNAcentral
UAUCUCUGUAGAGUCUGCAUAUCAAUAAGCGGAGGAAAAGAAACUAACUAGGAUUCCCUCAGUAACGGCGAGUGAAGCGGGAAGAGCUCAAAUUUGAAAUCUUCAAGGUUCUACCUUGACGAAUUGUAGUUUAAAGAAGUGUUUUCUGUUGGAGUUUUGGUAAAAGUUCUUUGGAAUAGGACAUCAUAGAGGGUGAGAAUCCCGUAUUUGACCAUUAUUUCCAGCUUUGUGAUACACUUUCAAAGAGUCGGAUUGUUUGGGAAUGCAGUCCAAAAUGGGUGGUAAAUUUCAUCUAAAGCUAAAUACUGGCGAGAGACCGAUAGCGAACAAGUACCGUGAGGGAAAGAUGAAAAGAACUUUGAAAAGAGAGUUAAACAGUACGUGAAAUUGUCAAAAGGGAAGCGUUUGACACCAGUGUUGUUUUCUCGAAAAUCAAUUAAAAAAGGCAGGAUUUUGUGUUGUAUUGACUUUAUCAGCUUUCUGCACUCUUUUCUUGUCUUUUUUAAUGCACUUUUCGUUUAACAAGUCAACAUCAAUUUCUUUUGUUGUAAAAGGGUCAUUGGAAGGUGGCUUUCUUUUCGGAGAAAGUGUUUAUAGCCUUUGGCCUCUGCAAUCGGAGAGAUUGAGGUCUGCAGCGUAGAUCCUUCGGGGUUAGAUACAUUUGUGCUAAGUUAUAGCCUUUCAUAGACAACUUGUUGACUAUGAUCAGUCAUGUAGCUUACUCGCUUAUGUAUUUUACCUACGCUUAGGAUGUUGAAGAUGUAGCACAUCAU